RNAcentral lists this ribosomal RNA (253 nucleotides) under uncultured bacterium. Its description in RNAcentral is "partial 16S ribosomal RNA". It matches the Rfam family "Bacterial small subunit ribosomal RNA", at positions 524 to 776 of the family's 1533-position model. The record is from RNAcentral.
UACGUAGGUGGCGAGCGUUGUCCGGAUUUACUGGGCGUAAAGGGAGCGUAGGCGGAUUUUCAAGUGAGAUGUGAAAUACUCGGGCUCAACUUGAGUGCUGCAUUUCAAACUGGAAGUCUAGAGUGCAGGAGAGGAGAAUGGAAUUCCUAGUGUAGCGGUGAAAUGCGUAGAGAUUAGGAAGAACACCAGUGGCGAAGGCGAUUCUCUGGACUGUAACUGACGCUGAGGCUCGAAAGCGUGGGGAGCAAACAGG